RNAcentral lists this unclassified non-coding RNA (250 nucleotides) under plant metagenome. Its description in RNAcentral is "partial contains small subunit ribosomal RNA, internal transcribed spacer 1, and 5.8S ribosomal RNA". The record is from RNAcentral.
GUUGGUGAACCAGCGGAAGGAUCAUUACAGAGAUCAUGCCCUUCGGGGUAGACCUCCCACCCUGUGUUAUUUACUCUUGUUGCUUUGGCAGGCCGCCUUCGGGCUCCCGGCUUCGGCUGGGGCGUGCCUGCCAGAGGACCCUAACUCUGAAUCAUAAACGUGUCGUCUGAGUACUAUAUAAUAAGUUAAAACUUUCAACAACGGAUCUCUUGGUUCUGGCAUCGAUGAAGAACGCAGCAUCUGACUGACU